AUACUACUGAUGACAUUGAGUUUUACUGGAAUGGAGGAGAGGGAGCAGUAACCGGAGUAAAUAAAAUUGAGCUUCCUCAGUUUUCAAUUGUCGACUACAAGAUGGUGUCCAAGAAGGUGGAGUUCACAACAGGGUCAUAUCCACGACUAUCACUAAGUUUCCGUCUAAA
Molecule: long non-coding RNA, 169 nt
Organism: Myotis brandtii (Brandt's bat)
Lineage: Eukaryota; Metazoa; Chordata; Mammalia; Chiroptera; Vespertilionidae
Exons: 2
Source: RefSeq, a predicted model, not a curated record